GGGGCCUUAGCUCAGCUGGGAGAGCGCCUGCUUUGCACGCAGGAGGUCAGGAGUUCGAUCCUCCUAGGCUCCACCA
RNAcentral lists this transfer RNA (76 nucleotides) under Gemelliphila palaticanis. RNAcentral's name for it is "tRNA-Ala". It matches the Rfam family "tRNA". From Rfam's summary of the family: Transfer RNA (tRNA) molecules are approximately 80 nucleotides in length. Their secondary structure includes four short double-helical elements and three loops (D, anti-codon, and T loops). Lineage: Bacteria; Bacillati; Bacillota; Bacilli; Caryophanales; Gemellaceae. RNAcentral also lists the same sequence under 24 other names. The record is from RNAcentral.